UACGAGGGGGGCGAGCGUUGUUCGGAAUUAUUGGGCGUAAAGGGUGCGUAGGCGGUUUGGUAAGUCUUAUGUGAAAUCUACAGGCUCAACUUGUAGUCUGCAUGAGAAACUGCCGGGCUUGAGUAUGGGAGAGGUGAGUGGAAUUCCUGGUGUAGCGGUGAAAUGCGUAGAUAUCGGGAAGAACACCCGUGGCGAAGGCGGCUCUCUGGGACGGUACUGACGCUGAGACGCGAAAGCGUGGGGAGCGAACAGG
RNAcentral lists this ribosomal RNA (253 nucleotides) under uncultured bacterium. RNAcentral describes it as "partial 16S ribosomal RNA". It matches the Rfam family "Bacterial small subunit ribosomal RNA", at positions 524 to 776 of the family's 1533-position model. The record is from RNAcentral.